CGGAGCGUAGCGCAGCCUGGUAGCGCAUCUGCUUUGGGAGCAGGAGGUCGCGAGUUCGAAUCCCGCCGCUCCGACCA
This 77-nucleotide transfer RNA is filed under the name Ottowia sp. RNAcentral's name for it is "tRNA-Pro". It matches the Rfam family "tRNA". Rfam says of the family: Transfer RNA (tRNA) molecules are approximately 80 nucleotides in length. Their secondary structure includes four short double-helical elements and three loops (D, anti-codon, and T loops). Further hydrogen bonds mediate the characteristic L-shaped molecular structure. tRNAs have two regions of fundamental functional importance: the anti-codon, which is responsible for specific mRNA codon recognition, and the 3' end, to which the tRNAs corresponding amino acid is attached (by aminoacyl-tRNA synthetases). tRNAs cope with the degeneracy of the genetic code in two manners: having more than one tRNA (with a specific anti-codon) for a particular amino acid; and 'wobble' base-pairing, i.e. permitting non-standard base-pairing at the 3rd anti-codon position. Lineage: Bacteria; Pseudomonadati; Pseudomonadota; Betaproteobacteria; Burkholderiales; Comamonadaceae. The record is from RNAcentral. RNAcentral also lists the same sequence under 1 other name.